Long non-coding RNA from Cydia splendana, 426 nucleotides. RefSeq lists it as uncharacterized. NCBI's taxonomy places the organism in Eukaryota, Metazoa, Arthropoda, Insecta, Lepidoptera, Tortricidae. The record is from RefSeq and is a predicted model, not a curated record. The transcript is spliced from 2 exons.
UUAAUACCACUUCAAAACGACUAACAAAUACCUAUACAGUUCCUGCGUAUUAGGAAAAAGUAAUAAAAAAUUAGACAUCAACACUUCAUUAAGCUUUAUCACCUCGACUAUGAUUAAAGAUCACGGGUAGUUAUGCCUAAUCGCCUGUGCAGUGUAGCGCUCGAUAUAAACAAAUGCAGGGCGUUUUGUUGGUCACUUCGUCCAGGAUGCUGCUUCAAAAUUGGUUCCUGUUAUUCCUGUUAGUCGCAGUGUUCGAGGCGAGCUGCUCAAGUGCGCUGACUCAAGUGCGCAUGCGGCCUGUUGCCAUGACAAGGCGCCUACUCAGGAAACGCCCGAUCAUCAUACGAUUAACCAACUAAAUGUAAACUAACGACCACUUUAAGCUAAAUUUGUGCCUUAAAUGAAAAUUAUAUCCUAAUUGAUCUC